RNAcentral lists this ribosomal RNA (577 nucleotides) under uncultured bacterium. Its description in RNAcentral is "bacterial SSU rRNA". It matches the Rfam family "Bacterial small subunit ribosomal RNA", at positions 104 to 677 of the family's 1533-position model. The record is from RNAcentral.
GGGUGAGUAAUGCCUAGGAAUCUGCCUGUUAGUGGGGGAUAACGUUCCGAAAGGAACGCUAAUACCGCAUACGUCCUACGGGAGAAAGUGGGGGAUCUUCGGACCUCACGCUAACAGAUGAGCCUAGGUCGGAUUAGCUAGUAGGUGAGGUAAUGGCCCACCUAGGCUACGAUCCGUAACUGGUCUGAGAGGAUGAUCAGUCACACUGGAACUGAGACACGGUCCAGACUCCUACGGGAGGCAGCAGUGGGGAAUAUUGCACAAUGGGGGAAACCCUGAUGCAGCCAUGCCGCGUGUGUGAAGAAGGCCUUCGGGUUGUAAAGCACUUUCAGUCAGGAGGAAGGGGAGUAGGCUAAUAUCCUAUUUCAUUGACGUUACUGACAGAAGAAGCACCGGCUAACUCCGUGCCAGCAGCCGCGGUAAUACGGAGGGUGCAAGCGUUAAUCGGAAUAACUGGGCGUAAAGCGCACGCAGGCGGUUAGAUAAGUCAGAUGUGAAAGCCCCGGGCUCAACCUGGGAACUGCAUUUGAAACUGUCUGACUCGAGUCUUGUAGAGGGGGGUAGAAUUCCAGGUGUA